Molecule: ribosomal RNA, 117 nt
Filed under: Fusobacterium mortiferum
Lineage: Bacteria; Fusobacteriati; Fusobacteriota; Fusobacteriia; Fusobacteriales; Fusobacteriaceae
Also listed under: 1 other name
Source: RNAcentral
CUUGGUGAGAAUAGCUACGGGGGUACACCCAGAUACAUUCCGAACCUGGAAGUUAAGCCCGUAAACGCUGAAAGUACUUGGAGGGAAGCCUCCUGGGAGGAUAGGAACUUGCCAAGC